RNAcentral lists this ribosomal RNA (468 nucleotides) under uncultured bacterium. RNAcentral's name for it is "partial 16S ribosomal RNA". It matches the Rfam family "Bacterial small subunit ribosomal RNA", at positions 28 to 507 of the family's 1533-position model. The record is from RNAcentral.
GACGAACGCUGGCGGCGUGCUUAACACAUGCAAGUCGAACGGAAAGGCCCUGCUUUUGUGGGGUGCUCGAGUGGCGAACGGGUGAGUAACACGUGAGUAACCUGCCCUUGACUUUGGGAUAACUUCAGGAAACUGGGGCUAAUACCGGAUAGGAGCUCCUGCUGCAUGGUGGGGGUUGGAUAGUUUCGGCGGUUGGGGAUGGACUCGCGGCUUAUCAGCUUGUUGGUGGGGUAGUGGCUUACCAAGGCUUUGACGGGUAGCCGGCCUGGGAGGGUGACCGGCCACAUUGGGACUGGGAUACGGCCCAGACUCCUACGGGAGGCAGCAGUGGGGAAUAUUGCACAAUGGGCGGAAGCCUGAUGCAGCAACGCCGCGUGCGGGAUGACGGCCUUCGGGUUGUGAACCGCUUUCGCCUGUGACGAAGCGUGAGUGACGGUAAUGGGUAAAGAAGCACCGGCUAACUACGUG